RNAcentral lists this ribosomal RNA (105 nucleotides) under Heliconius melpomene (postman butterfly). The record is from RNAcentral. Lineage: Eukaryota; Metazoa; Arthropoda; Insecta; Lepidoptera; Nymphalidae.
GCCAACGUCCAUACCACGUUGAACACACCGGUUCUCGUCCGAUCACCGAAGUUAAGCAACGUCGGGCGCGGUCAGUACUUAAGUUUGAAAAUGGCUUUGUUGGCU